AAAGGUAAGCUACUAAGAGCGAAUGGUGGAUGCCUUGACUGGUAAAGGCGAUGAAGGACGUACUAGACUGCGAUAAGCUACGGGGAGCUGUCAAGAAGCUUUGAUCCGUAGAUUUCCGAAUGGGGCAACCCAAUGUAUAGAGAUAUACAUUACCUAUAUAGGAGCGAACGAGGGGAAUUGAAACAUCUUAGUACCCUCAGGAAAAGAAAUCAAUAGAGAUUGCGUCAGUAGCGGCGAGCGAAAGCGCAAGAGGGCAAACCCAGUGCUUGCACUGGGGGUUGUAGGACUGCAAUGUGCAAGAGCUGAGUUUAGCAGAACAUUCUGGAAAGUAUAGCCAUAGAGGGUGAUAGUCCCGUAUGCGAAAAACAAAGCUUAGCUAGCAGUAUCCUGAGUAGGGCGGGACACGAGGAAUCCUGUCUGAAUCCGGGUCGACCACGAUCCAACCCUAAAUACUAAUACCAGAUCGAUAGUG
This 472-nucleotide ribosomal RNA is filed under the name Campylobacter jejuni. Its description in RNAcentral is "bacterial LSU rRNA". It matches the Rfam family "Bacterial large subunit ribosomal RNA", at positions 1 to 492 of the family's 2925-position model. The record is from RNAcentral. Lineage: Bacteria; Pseudomonadati; Campylobacterota; Epsilonproteobacteria; Campylobacterales; Campylobacteraceae.